Molecule: ribosomal RNA, 429 nt
Filed under: Pseudomonadota bacterium
Lineage: Bacteria; Pseudomonadati; Pseudomonadota
Description: Proteobacteria bacterium partial 16S ribosomal RNA
Rfam family: Bacterial small subunit ribosomal RNA
Source: RNAcentral
UGGGGAAUUUUGGACAAUGGGCGAAAGCCUGAUCCAGCCAUGCCGCGUGUGUGAAGAAGGUCUUCGGAUUGUAAAGCACUUUAAGAUGGGAGGAAGGGCAGUAAGCGAAUACCUUGCUGUUUUGACGUUACCGACAGAAUAAGCACCGGCUAACUCUGUGCCAGCAGCCGCGGUAAUACAGAGGGUGCAAGCGUUAAUCGGAAUUACUGGUCGUAAAGCGCGCGUAGGUGGUUCGUUAAGUUGAAUGUGAAAGCCCCGGGCUCAACCUGGGAACUGCAUCCAAAACUGGCGGGCUAGAGUAGGGCAGAGGGUGGUGGAAUUUCCUGUGUAGCGGUGAAAUGCGUAGAUAUAGGAAGGAACACCAGUGGCGAAGGCGACCACCUGGGCUCAUACUGACACUGAGGUGCGAAAGCGUGGGGAGCAAACAGG